This 253-nucleotide transfer-messenger RNA is filed under the name Candidatus Bartonella washoeensis. Its description in RNAcentral is "Bartonella washoeensis partial ssrA". It matches the Rfam family "Alphaproteobacteria transfer-messenger RNA", at positions 81 to 331 of the family's 355-position model. From Rfam's summary of the family: Bacterial tmRNA, also known as 10Sa RNA or SsrA, is named for its dual tRNA and mRNA-like properties. The record is from RNAcentral. Lineage: Bacteria; Pseudomonadati; Pseudomonadota; Alphaproteobacteria; Hyphomicrobiales; Bartonellaceae.
ACUCAUUGGACCCGGGGGCGGUACCCGGCGCCUCCACCAAAAUAUAAUGGAUGGAAAUUAUAUUUUGGUGGGGGCGAAAUAGGAUCGACAAGGGCGUAAAGAUUGCUCUUUUACUCGGCAUAGUACCACCGUUAUCGGACUAAAUGAGUAGUUGCAAAUGACAACUAUGCGGAAGCAAGUCUCGCUGCUUAAUGCAGUGCGAAUGUUUCAAACUAAGCCUUAAACCGUCGCAGGUUUAAGCGGGGUUCGAAGG